This 601-nucleotide ribosomal RNA is filed under the name uncultured Tulasnellaceae. RNAcentral's name for it is "eukaryotic LSU rRNA". The stretch from base 495 to 601 matches the Rfam family "Eukaryotic large subunit ribosomal RNA", at positions 1 to 108 of the family's 3401-position model. Lineage: Eukaryota; Fungi; Basidiomycota; Agaricomycetes; Cantharellales; Tulasnellaceae. The record is from RNAcentral.
CGAGGACAACCGACCCCUCGCGUCCGAGGUUAAACGACGUCCCAAGUGUUACCUCCUCGGAGGCACACGUUAAAGAUCGUUCCGGGUUGUGAGUCUUGACACCAACUGUAUGAUGUUUACAACCGGCGGCGUUGGAUCCCUUGGCACGUCAUUCGAUGAAGACCGUUGCAAAUUGCGAUAAAGUGAUGUGAUGCGCAAGUCCACCACUUAUACGUGAAUCAUCGAGUUGUUGAACGCACUGCACCGCGCCCUAAUCCGGCUGCGGUAUGCCCCUUUGAGCGUCAUUGUCAUCCUUCGGGAGCCUUUCUUUGGGAAGGCCCGAGUUCGGAGUCCUCGGUCCUCGGAUCGUGUUCUCUCAGAUCCAUCAUGCCAACCGUCCAGUGGGUCCUCUAAUGCCUGAGCGUGGAGGGCUUCUGGGUUUCGAGCGGCGUUCGACCGCGUGGAGAGCGCUGGUCGCCAAGUCCGUGCGGCCCAGCCGUCGGUGCUACAACUCAUGACCUCAUUGGGGUAGGACAACCCGCUAGACUUAAGCAUAUUAAUCAGCGGAGGAAAAGAAACUAACCAGGAUUCCCUCAGUAACUGCGAGUGAAGUGGGAUCAGC